GGUCUAAACAAGAGCCUUGAUGAUUCGUAGGAGAAUUCUUAGCAUCAAGCCAUUACCCAGCAUCCGAAAAGUUUUCUCUGAAGUCUGCCAAGAAGAGAGUAGAAGGAAAGUGAUGCCAGGGACAUCAUGCAAUCCACAAGAGACAGAAAAUUUAGUCCCUGCUGUACAAGGACCAAAAUCCUACCAAGGUAGUGAAAAUCGACAGAAGAAAGGUAACAGACCUUGGUGUGACCACUGUCAGAAGGCUGGACACACACAGGAAAAUUAUUGGCAAAUCCAUGGGAAACCUACUGACUACAAACCACAUUCUACUUGAAAUCGAAAGAAUCAUGAAAAUUCUGCCACCACCGAGACAACUCCAACACCCCUGGAAUCAAGCCCAUUUAGUAGAGAGCAGUUGGAA
This 403-nucleotide long non-coding RNA is filed under the name Durio zibethinus. RNAcentral's name for it is "long non-coding RNA (DZIB_LNC001496)". The record is from RNAcentral. Lineage: Eukaryota; Viridiplantae; Streptophyta; Magnoliopsida; Malvales; Malvaceae.